AGCCAACAUGGCUCCAGUGGAGCACGUUGUGGCGGAUGCUGGGGCUUUCCUGCGGGAUGCGGCUCUGCAGGUACGGGGAGCUCCCUCCGGGACGAGAGAGAUCUGGGCUGGCCGCCCCUCCCGGAGUGCGUGGAGUCGCGCGGAGCGUUGCUUGGUGCGGGUGGGUCUGAGCUGGGGCGUUCUGUCCGCAGGACAUCGGGAAGAACAUUUACACCAUCCGGGAGGUGGUCACUGAGAUUCGGGACAAGGCCACACGCAGGCGGCUCGCUGUCCUGCCCUACGAGCUGCGGUUCAAGGAGCCCUUACCGGAAUACGUGCGGCUGGUGACUGAGUUUUCAAAGAAAACAGGAGACUACCCCAGCCUCUCUGCCACGGACAUCCAAGUGCUUGCACUCACAUACCAGUUGGAAGCAGAGUUUGUUGGGGUGUCUCACCUAAAACAAGAACCACAGAAGGUUAAAGUGAGCUCAUCGAUUCAGCACCCAGAAACACCUCUGCACAUUUCUGGUUUCCAUCUGCCCUACAAGCCUAAACCCCCACAAGAAACAGAAAAAGC
Molecule: small RNA, 556 nt
Filed under: Pan troglodytes (chimpanzee)
Lineage: Eukaryota; Metazoa; Chordata; Mammalia; Primates; Hominidae
Description: retained intron
Source: RNAcentral